Phyllopteryx taeniolatus (common seadragon) is the source of this 457-nucleotide long non-coding RNA. RefSeq lists it as uncharacterized. NCBI's taxonomy places the organism in Eukaryota, Metazoa, Chordata, Actinopteri, Syngnathiformes, Syngnathidae. The transcript is spliced from 4 exons. The record is from RefSeq and is a predicted model, not a curated record.
GUAAAUGAAAGGAGCGAGGCGGAAUCACUGAUUAACAGAAGCCAAUACGUUGGAUUAAGCGCAGCUUUGGUGAACUCUGAUCCAGACACAAUACAUUUACUAACCAACUCCAUAGAGCAGAGUGUGAAGCGGCUGGGAUGAAAAUCAGCACCUCCAAAUGUGAGACCAUGGUCCUCAGUGCCCUCUCCAGGUCGGGGAUGAGAUCCUGCCCCAAGGUCAAGCAAAAAGACCAUAACAUCCUGACUGUGUUGUCUACUGCUCUCCCCUUCAAGAUGUGGCUCGCUCUACUCAUACAGAGCCCUUACAGAGGCCUCCCCAUCCCAGUCAGAAGCUGAGGAAUGGAACGGACUGACUCAAGAGCAUCUGACUUCCAUUGCCGGGUGCAGCUUGUGUGUUCCAUUUAGCCACUGGUAUUCUGAGAAGAUGCGCAGCAGCAUUACCAGAAGCCCGCUCUCAA